AUAUCAAUAAGCGGAGGAAAAGAAACCAACUGGGAUUGCCCUAGUAACGGCGAGUGAAGCGGCAACAGCUCAAAUUUGAAAUCUGGCUCUUUUAGAGUCCGAAUUGUAAUUUGUAGAGGAUGCUUUUGGUGCGGCGCCUUCUGAGUUCCCCGGAAUGGGACGCCAUAGAGGGUGAGAGCCCCGUAUGGUCGGAUGCCUAGCCUGUGUGAAGCUCCUUCGACGAGUCGAGUAGUUUGGGAACGCUGCUCUAAAUGGGAGGUAAAUUCCUUCUAAAGCUAAAUAUUGGCCAGAGACCGAUAGCGCACAAGUA
This 310-nucleotide ribosomal RNA is filed under the name uncultured Hypocreomycetidae. Its description in RNAcentral is "partial large subunit ribosomal RNA". It matches the Rfam family "Eukaryotic large subunit ribosomal RNA", at positions 40 to 350 of the family's 3401-position model. Lineage: Eukaryota; Fungi; Ascomycota; Sordariomycetes. The record is from RNAcentral.